Molecule: ribosomal RNA, 510 nt
Filed under: uncultured bacterium
Lineage: Bacteria
Description: partial 16S ribosomal RNA
Rfam family: Bacterial small subunit ribosomal RNA
Source: RNAcentral
GACGAACGCUGGCGGCGUGCUUAACACAUGCAAGUCGAACGAAGAGCGAUGGAAGCUUGCUUCUAUCAAUCUUAGUGGCGAACGGGUGAGUAACGCGUAAUCAACCUGCCCUUCAGAGGGGGACAACAGUUGGAAACGACUGCUAAUACCGCAUACGAUCCAAUCUCGGCAUCGGGACUGGAUGAAAGGUGGCCUCUAUUUAUAAGCUAUCACUGAAGGAGGGGAUUGCGUCUGAUUAGCUAGUUGGAGGGGUAACGGCCCACCAAGGCGAUGAUCAGUAGCCGGUCUGAGAGGAUGAACCGCCACAUUGGGACUGAGACACGGCCCAGACUCCUACGGGAGGCAGCAGUGGGGAAUCUUCCGCAAUGGACGAAAGUCUGACGGAGCAACGCCGCGUGAGUGAUGACGGCCUUCGGGUUGUAAAGCUCUGUUAAUCGGGACGAAUGGUUCUUGUGCGAAUAGUGCGAGGAUUUGACGGUACCGGAAUAGAAAGCCACGGCUAACUACGUG